UCGAAUCGAAUCAACUAGGUUUUCGGUUGGUUCAAUCAUUUCAACCACGAUGAACCAAAUUAGCAGAAGUAGUGAAAUCAACCACGGUUCAAACUGGUUGAAUCUGGUUCCACUUGGUUUGAUCAACUAUAAAAAUUAAGGAUCAAUCCGUCAUGGUUAAACCAACCGGAAGAUUUUCCAAUUUCUGGUUAAACCGGUUGAACCGACUGAUCCAGUUCUGUUUUGACAACAUUGCAAGGUAACAGUUGCCUCUACUAGAAAUGAUUGUAAACAUAGAAUAGAAAACAUAUCAAGUAGUUGUAUUUCCUUUAUCUUGAACAACAAAUAUGAAUGAAUCAAUGAAUUUUAUUAUGAGAUACAAUUUUCAAGUAACUUUUUCUCGAGUCCAGCUUUGACACAUAUUAUAGAUAUAUCAUCAUUCUUACAUGCUAUGUUAUUUGACACAAAUAUGACAGAUUACCAAGGAAUUUCUUGACCAUCCCAACCAAAGAACUUGCC
RNAcentral lists this long non-coding RNA (498 nucleotides) under Medicago truncatula (barrel medic). Its description in RNAcentral is "long non-coding RNA (MTRU_LNC008199)". The record is from RNAcentral. Lineage: Eukaryota; Viridiplantae; Streptophyta; Magnoliopsida; Fabales; Fabaceae.